Molecule: long non-coding RNA, 554 nt
Filed under: Theobroma cacao (cacao)
Lineage: Eukaryota; Viridiplantae; Streptophyta; Magnoliopsida; Malvales; Malvaceae
Description: long non-coding RNA (TCAC_LNC000549)
Source: RNAcentral
CUUGAAAUGCGGUUGCUUGAUUAAAAAAUUCUCAACUGGAAUACAAUAAAAAUAAAUUGAAGUACAUGACAUUAACAUAUGCUUUAAGUACGGGCUUUGAUUAUGUGUCUAGACCAUAACUUUGUCUUUCUAAGGAGUAGGAGAGCAAUUCCCACUUGCAAAAUUUGCAGGAAUAAACUAUAGCAUUCUUGGAGGGCAAGCUUGAAGUUUUUUGUGAGGAGUUGUAUAAACUAAGCUAAGCUUAAUGCUAAAAAAAAAUCUCAACUGCAUGCAAUAAAUUAAGUAAGAAGACAUUUAUAUACAGUAUAUUCUUCAAACUGCCUGGUCCCCCUGGCUAAGGAUCUACGAAUCUAGACUUAUUGCCAGCCUUACAAAGCUUCUGACGUACUCCCUUAAAGUCUUCAUGACUAAGAAUAGUUUUCUACUGCACGACAGAAAUUAAUAAACAGCGGGCAGCAGGGCUAGGGACCGCCGCUGGAAGUGAACCUUGCAGGAGAACUUCAGGAAAAAGAUGUAAGAGAACCACAUAUCGCAGCUUAGAUAACUGAAUGGAU